GCCGACGUAGCUCAGCGUGGUAGAGCACAUCAUUCGUAAUGAUGGGGCCUCCGGUUCGACCCCGGUCGUCGGCU
RNAcentral lists this transfer RNA (74 nucleotides) under Candidatus Omnitrophota bacterium. Its description in RNAcentral is "Candidatus Omnitrophica bacterium (sediment metagenome) tRNA-Thr". It matches the Rfam family "tRNA". Rfam says of the family: Transfer RNA (tRNA) molecules are approximately 80 nucleotides in length. Their secondary structure includes four short double-helical elements and three loops (D, anti-codon, and T loops). The record is from RNAcentral. Lineage: Bacteria; Pseudomonadati; Candidatus Omnitrophota.